This 73-nucleotide transfer RNA is filed under the name Cordylochernes scorpioides. RNAcentral's name for it is "tRNA-Thr". The record is from RNAcentral. Lineage: Eukaryota; Metazoa; Arthropoda; Arachnida; Pseudoscorpiones; Chernetidae.
UUCCAGGGAUGGGAAACGAACCCACAGUGUUCCGCUUACCGGACAGAUGCCAUGUCCACUAGGCUACUGUGGA